This 479-nucleotide ribosomal RNA is filed under the name uncultured bacterium. RNAcentral's name for it is "partial 16S ribosomal RNA". It matches the Rfam family "Bacterial small subunit ribosomal RNA", at positions 28 to 507 of the family's 1533-position model. The record is from RNAcentral.
GGCGAACGCUGGCGGCGCGCUUAACACAUGCAAGUCGAGCGAUGAAAUUUCGACAGAUCCCUUCGGGGUGAAGAUGAAAUGGAUUAGCGGCGGACGGGUGAGUAACACGUGAGUAACCUGCCUUUGACAUUGGGAUAGCCUCGGGAAACUGGGAUUAAUACCAAAUGACACUAACUGAUCACAUGAUCAAUUAGUCAAAGAAAUUCGGUCAAAGAUGGACUCGCGGCUGAUUAGCUAGUUGGUGAGGUAACGGCCCACCAAGGCGACGAUCAGUAGCCGGCCUGAGAGGGUGUUCGGCCACAUUGGAACUGAGACACGGUCCAAACUCCUACGGGAGGCAGCAGUGGGGAAUAUUGCACAAUGGGGGAAACCCUGAUGCAGCGACGCCGCGUGAGCGAAGAAGGCCUUCGGGUCGUAAAGCUCUUUUAUGAGGGAAGAUAAUGACGGUACCUCAAGAAAAAGCCCCGGCUAACUACGUG